RNAcentral lists this ribosomal RNA (253 nucleotides) under uncultured bacterium. Its description in RNAcentral is "partial 16S ribosomal RNA". It matches the Rfam family "Bacterial small subunit ribosomal RNA", at positions 524 to 776 of the family's 1533-position model. The record is from RNAcentral.
UACGUAGGGUGCGAGCGUUGUCCGGAAUUAUUGGGCGUAACGAGCUUGUAGGCGGUUUGUCGCGUCUGCUGUGAAAAUCCGGGGCUCAACCCCGGACUUGCAGUGGGUACGGGCAGACUAGAGUGUGGUAGGGGAGACUGGAAUUCCUGGUGUAGCGGUGAAAUGCGCAGAUAUCAGGAGGAACACCGAUGGCGAAGGCAGGUCUCUGGGCCACUACUGACGCUGAGAAGCGAAAGCAUGGGGAGCGAACAGG